Molecule: ribosomal RNA, 776 nt
Filed under: uncultured Neocallimastigales
Lineage: Eukaryota; Fungi; Neocallimastigomycota; Neocallimastigomycetes; Neocallimastigales
Description: partial large subunit ribosomal RNA
Rfam family: Eukaryotic large subunit ribosomal RNA
Source: RNAcentral
CGCAUCUGUGCAUGCAGCAUAUCAAUAAGCGGAGGAAAAGAAACUAACAAGGAUUCCCCUAGUAACGGCGAGUGAAGUGGGAAGAGCUCAAAUUUGAAAUCUUAAAGGGUUUCCCUUUACGAAUUGUAGUUUAAAGAAGUGUUUUCUGUUGAGGUUUUGGUAAAAGUUCUUUGGAAUAGGACAUCAUAGAGGGUGAGAAUCCCGUAUUUGACCUUUACUUUCAACUUUGUGAUACACUUUCAAAGAGUCGGAUUGUUUGGGAAUGCAGUCCAAAAUGGGUGGUAAAUUUCAUCUAAAGCUAAAUAUUGGCGAGAGACCGAUAGCGAACAAGUACCGUGAGGGAAAGAUGAAAAGAACUUUGAAAAGAGAGUUAAACAGUACGUGAAAUUGUCAAAAGGGAAGCGUUUGACACCAGUGUCUGUUUUUCUGAAAAUCAAUUAAAGAACUGUUUAUGCUAAGCUGUUUAGACUUUAUCAGCUAAUCUGUUUAGUUUUGAGCUUUUCUUUAAUGCACUUUUCAGUUAACAAGUCAACAUCAAUUUCUUUUGCUGUAAAAAAGCUUGAGGAAGGUGGCUUGAGAUUCGUCUUAAGUGUUUAUAGCCUCUUGCCUAUGCAGUCGGAGAGAUUGAGGUCUGCAGCGUAGAUCCUUCGGGGCUAAAUGCAUUUGUGCUAAGUUAUAGCAUUUUAUAGACAACUUGUUGACUAUGAUUUGUCUUGUAGCUUACUCGCUUAUGUUAUUUUACCUACGCUUAGGAUGUUGAAUCUGUGCGAGACUAC